The sequence is a transfer RNA, 88 nucleotides long. It matches the Rfam family "tRNA". Rfam says of the family: Transfer RNA (tRNA) molecules are approximately 80 nucleotides in length. Their secondary structure includes four short double-helical elements and three loops (D, anti-codon, and T loops). Further hydrogen bonds mediate the characteristic L-shaped molecular structure. tRNAs have two regions of fundamental functional importance: the anti-codon, which is responsible for specific mRNA codon recognition, and the 3' end, to which the tRNAs corresponding amino acid is attached (by aminoacyl-tRNA synthetases). tRNAs cope with the degeneracy of the genetic code in two manners: having more than one tRNA (with a specific anti-codon) for a particular amino acid; and 'wobble' base-pairing, i.e. permitting non-standard base-pairing at the 3rd anti-codon position. The record is from Rfam.
GGUCCUAUUGUUUAGUGGUUAUGACGUCGGAUUUUGAUUACUCUCAAAAAGCCUUCCGAAGACCCCGGUUCGAACCCGGGUAGGACCU